GAUGAACGCUGGCGGCGUGCCUAAUACAUGCAAGUCGAGCGAACAGACGAGGAGCUUGCUCCUCUGACGUUAGCGGCGGACGGGUGAGUAACACGUGGAUAACCUACCUAUAAGACUGGGAUAACUUCGGGAAACCGGAGCUAAUACCGGAUAAUAUAUUGAACCGCAUGGUUCUAUAGUGAAAGACGGUUUUGCUGUCACUUAUAGAUGGAUCCGCGCCGCAUUAGCUAGUUGGUAAGGUAACGGCUUACCAAGGCAACGAUGCGUAGCCGACCUGAGAGGGUGAUCGGCCACACUGGAACUGAGACACGGUCCAGACUCCUACGGGAGGCAGCAGUAGGGAAUCUUCCGCAAUGGGCGAAAGCUUGACGGAGCAACGCCGCGUGAGUGAUGAAGGUCUUCGGAUCGUAAAACUCUGUUAUUAGGGAAGAACAAAAGUGUAAGUAACUAUGCACGUCUUGACGGUACCUAAUCAGAAAGCCACGGCUAACUACGUG
RNAcentral lists this ribosomal RNA (497 nucleotides) under uncultured bacterium. RNAcentral's name for it is "partial 16S ribosomal RNA". It matches the Rfam family "Bacterial small subunit ribosomal RNA", at positions 28 to 507 of the family's 1533-position model. The record is from RNAcentral.